UAGAACGUCGUGAGACAGUUCGGUCCCUAUCUGCCGUGGGCGCUGGAGAACUGAGGGGGGCUGCUCCUAGUACGAGAGGACCGGAGUGGACGCAUCACUGGUGUUCGGGUUGUCAUGCCAAUGGCACUGCCCGGUAGCUAAAUGCGGAAGAGAUAAGUGCUGAAAGCAUCUAAGCACGAAACUUGCCCCGAGAUGAGUUCUCCCUGACUCCUUGAGAGUCCUGAAGGAACGUUGAAGACGACGACGUUGAUAGGCCGGGUGUGUAAGCGCAGCGAUGCGUUGAGCUAACCGGUACUAAUGAACCGUGAGGCUUAACCUUACAACGCCGAAGGUGUUU
RNAcentral lists this ribosomal RNA (337 nucleotides) under Escherichia coli. Its description in RNAcentral is "partial 23S ribosomal RNA". It matches the Rfam family "Bacterial large subunit ribosomal RNA", at positions 2612 to 2925 of the family's 2925-position model. The record is from RNAcentral. Lineage: Bacteria; Pseudomonadati; Pseudomonadota; Gammaproteobacteria; Enterobacterales; Enterobacteriaceae.